UCGUGUUAGGUUUAGCUUUCGAAAAGUAAUUUUUCUGACCGAUCGUCCCAAGGGCAAGUGACAAAGGAUUUGAUGAUUGGUACUCGAGAUUCCAAAAUCGAAUCCUAGUUGACUCACAUUUUCAGCUAAAUUUAUUUCUAAAUUAAAUAAACAAAACAGAUAGUGUGCUACCUAUCUCUAAAAAUAAAAUAAUUUUUCUGCCAACAGAGCAUUUGGCAAUACCUAUUUCAAAUCUAACUCCGAUUUUCCGAAUCAAUUUUUCAAUUUUAGAAGCUCAAAAUCAGAAGUAGCUAAACUUUUCUACUUAAAAUCUAAUUUUAAUUUUGGAUUCAAAUUUUAAAAUUUAAUUUUAAUUUUCAAUUCAAUUAUUAAAUUUAACUACAGAUUUAAAAUUUAAAAUUUAAAGUUUAAACUAUUAAAUCUCAAUUUUUAAGUUUUAAAAAUUAAAUUUCAAAAUUUUAAAUUUUAAAUUUAGAU
This 477-nucleotide long non-coding RNA is filed under the name Ananas comosus (pineapple). RNAcentral describes it as "long non-coding RNA (ACOM_LNC037402)". The record is from RNAcentral. Lineage: Eukaryota; Viridiplantae; Streptophyta; Magnoliopsida; Poales; Bromeliaceae.